CGUUCCCGGGCCUUGUACACACCGCCCGUCAAGCCAUGGAAGCUGGGGGUACCCGAAGUCCGUGACCCGACCCCGCAAGGGGAGGGAGCGGCCGAAGGUAAACUCAGUGACUGGGGCU
This 118-nucleotide ribosomal RNA is filed under the name uncultured bacterium. RNAcentral describes it as "partial 16S ribosomal RNA". It matches the Rfam family "Bacterial small subunit ribosomal RNA", at positions 1369 to 1482 of the family's 1533-position model. The record is from RNAcentral.